UAGAGUUUGAUCCUGGCUCAGAUUGAACGCUGGCGGCAGGCCUAACACAUGCAAGUCGAGCGGAUGAAGAGAGCUUGCUCUCUGAUUCAGCGGCGGACGGGUGAGUAGUGCCUAGGAAUCUGCCUGGUAGUGGGGGACAACGUUUCGAAAGGAACGCUAAUACCGCAUACGUCCUACGGGAGAAAGCAGGGGACCUUCGGGCCUUGCGCUAUCAGAUGAGCCUAGGUCGGAUUAGCUAGUAGGUGAGGUAAUGGCUCACCUAGGCGACGAUCCGUAACUGGUCUGAGAGGAUGAUCAGUCACACUGGAACUGAGACACGGUCCAGACUCCUACGGGAGGCAGCAGUGGGGAAUAUUGGACAAUGGGCGAAAGCCUGAUCCAGCCAUGCCGCGUGUGUGAAGAAGGUCUUCGGAUUGUAAAGCACUUUAAGUUGGGAGGAAGGGCAGUAAGUUAAUACCUUGCUGUUUUGACGUUACCGACAGAAUAAGCACCGGCUAACUCUGUGCCAGCAGCCGCGGUAAUACAGAGGGUGCAAGCGUUAAUCGGAAUUACUGGGCGUAAAGCGCGCGUAGGUGGUUCGUUAAGUUGGAUGUGAAAUCCCCGGGCUCAACCUGGGAACUGCAUCCAAAACUGGCGAGCUAGAGUACGGUAGAGGGUGGUGGAAUUUCCUGUGUAGCGGUGAAAUGCGUAGAUAUAGGAAGGAACACCAGUGGCGAAGGCGACCACCUGGACUGAUACUGACACUGAGGUGCGAAAGCGUGGGGAGCAAACAGGAUAAGAUACCCUGGUAGUCCACGCCGUAAACGAUG
Molecule: ribosomal RNA, 809 nt
Filed under: uncultured bacterium
Lineage: Bacteria
Description: bacterial SSU rRNA
Rfam family: Bacterial small subunit ribosomal RNA
Source: RNAcentral